This 254-nucleotide ribosomal RNA is filed under the name uncultured bacterium. Its description in RNAcentral is "partial 16S ribosomal RNA". It matches the Rfam family "Bacterial small subunit ribosomal RNA", at positions 524 to 776 of the family's 1533-position model. The record is from RNAcentral.
CACGUAGGCACCAAGCGUUGUCCGGAUUUAUUGGGCGUAAAGAGCUCGUAGGCGGUUCGGUAAGUCGGGUGUGAAAACUCUGGGCUCAACCCAGAGAGGCCACCCGAUACUGCUGUGACUCGAGUCCGGGAGAGGUGAGUGGAACUCCGAGUGUAGAGGUGAAAUUCGUAGAUAUUCGGAAGAACACCAGUGGCGAAGGCGGCUCACUGGCCCGGUACUGACGCUCAUGUGCGAAAGCGUGGGGAGCAAACAGG